RNAcentral lists this ribosomal RNA (435 nucleotides) under uncultured bacterium. RNAcentral's name for it is "partial 16S ribosomal RNA". It matches the Rfam family "Bacterial small subunit ribosomal RNA", at positions 29 to 507 of the family's 1533-position model. The record is from RNAcentral.
AGCGAACGCUGGCGGCAGGCUUAACACAUGCAAGUCGAGCGGGCACUUUCGGGUGUCAGCGGCGGACGGGUGAGUAACGCGUUGGAACGUGCCCUCUGGUUCGGAAUAACUCAGGGAAACUUGAGCUAAUACCGGAUACGCCCUUUUGGGGAAAGGCUUGCUGCCGGAGGAUCGGCCCGCGUCUGAUUAGCUGGUUGGUGAGGUAACGGCUCACCAAGGCGACGAUCAGUAGCUGGUCUGAGAGGAUGAGCAGCCACACUGGGACUGAGACACGGCGCAGACUCCUACGGGAGGCAGCAGUGGGGAAUAUUGGACAAUGGGCGCAAGCCUGAUCCAGCCAUGCCGCGUGAGUGAUGAAGGCCUUAGGGUUGUAAAGCUCUUUUAUCCGGGACGAUAAUGACGGUACCGGAGGAAUAAGCCCCGGCUAACUUCGUG